GUGCUCGUCCACAAGAGAAGCAGG
This 24-nucleotide microRNA is filed under the name Brachypodium distachyon (stiff brome). RNAcentral describes it as "bdi-miR7787-5p". The record is from miRBase by way of RNAcentral. Lineage: Eukaryota; Viridiplantae; Streptophyta; Magnoliopsida; Poales; Poaceae.